GACGAACGCUGGCGGCGUGCUUAACACAUGCAAGUCGAACGGUAAGGCCCUUCGGGGUACACGAGUGGCGAACGGGUGAGUAACACGUGGGUGAUCUGCCCUGCACUUCGGGAUAAGCCUGGGAAACUGGGUCUAAUACCGGAUAGGACCACUGCCUGCAUGGGUGGGGGGGGAAAGCUUUUGCGGUGUGGGAUGGGCCCGCGGCCUAUCAGCUUGUUGGGGGGGUGAUGGCCUACCAAGGCGACGACGGGUAGCCGGCCUGAGAGGGUUACCGGCCACACUGGGACUGCGAUACGGCCCAGACUCCUACGGGAGGCAGCAGUGGGGAAUAUUGCACAAUGGGCGCAAGCCUGAUGCAGCGACGCCGCGUGAGGGAUGACGGCCUUCGGGUUGUAAACCUCUUUCAGCACCGACGAAGCGCAAGUGACGGUAGGUGCAGAAGAAGGACCGGCCAACUACGUGCCAGCCGCCGCUGUAA
Molecule: ribosomal RNA, 478 nt
Filed under: uncultured bacterium
Lineage: Bacteria
Description: partial 16S ribosomal RNA
Rfam family: Bacterial small subunit ribosomal RNA
Source: RNAcentral